ACGGGAGGCAUCAGUGGGGAAUAUUGCACAAUGGGGGAAACCCUGAUGCAGCGACGCCGCGUGAGCGAAGAAGUAUUUCGGUAUGUAAAGCUCUAUCAGCAGGGAAGAAAAUGACGGUACCUGACUAAGAAGCCCCGGCUAACUACGUGCCAGCAGCCGCGGUAAUACGUAGGGGGCAAGCGUUAUCCGGAUUUACUGGGUGUAAAGGGAGCGUAGACGGCAUAGCAAGUCUGAAGUGAAAGCCCGUGGCUUAACUGCGGGACUGCUUUGGAAACUGUCAUGCUAGAGUGUCGGAGAGGUGAGUGGAAUUCCCAGUGUAGCGGUGAAAUGCGUAGAUAUUGGGAAGAACACCGGAGGCGAAGGCGGCUCACUGGACGAUAACUGACGUUGAUGCUCGAAAGCGUGGGGAGCAAACAGGAUUAGAUACCCUGGUA
Molecule: ribosomal RNA, 434 nt
Filed under: uncultured Lachnospiraceae bacterium
Lineage: Bacteria; Bacillati; Bacillota; Clostridia; Lachnospirales; Lachnospiraceae
Description: partial 16S ribosomal RNA
Rfam family: Bacterial small subunit ribosomal RNA
Source: RNAcentral